RNAcentral lists this ribosomal RNA (461 nucleotides) under uncultured Sphingobacteriales bacterium. Its description in RNAcentral is "bacterial SSU rRNA". It matches the Rfam family "Bacterial small subunit ribosomal RNA", at positions 915 to 1382 of the family's 1533-position model. Lineage: Bacteria; Pseudomonadati; Bacteroidota; Sphingobacteriia; Sphingobacteriales. The record is from RNAcentral.
AGGGGCCCGCACAAGCGAGGAACAUGUGGUUAAUUCGAUGAUACGCGAGGAACCUUACCUGGGCUUAAAUGGGGAGUGACAGCUGUCGAAAGAUGGUUUCUUCGGACACUCUUCAAGGUGCUGCAUGGUUGUCGUCAGCUCGUGCCGUGAGGUGUCGGGUUAAGUCCCAUAACGAGCGCAACCCUUACCGUUAGUUACCAUCAGGUUAAGCUGGGGACUCUAGCGGGACUGCCACCGUAAGGUGAGAGGAAGUGGGGAUGACGUCAAAUCAGCACGGCCCUUAUGUCCAGGGCUACACACGUGUUACAAUGGCCAGUACAAAGGGCAGCUACCGGGUGACCGGAUGCUAAUCUCUAAAGCUGGUCUCAGUUCGGAUCGAAGUCUGCAACCCGACUUCGUGAAGCUGGAUUCGCUAGUAAUCGCGCAUCAGCCAUGGCGCGGUCGAAUACGUUCCGGGCCUU